RNAcentral lists this ribosomal RNA (253 nucleotides) under uncultured bacterium. Its description in RNAcentral is "partial 16S ribosomal RNA". It matches the Rfam family "Bacterial small subunit ribosomal RNA", at positions 524 to 776 of the family's 1533-position model. The record is from RNAcentral.
UACGGGGGGUGCAAGCGUUGUUCGGAUUGAUUGGGCGUAAAGCGCUCGUAGGCGGGUCCACAAGUCGGAUGUGAAAUCCCCGGGCUUAACCUGGGAAUUGCAUCUGAAACUAUGGAUCUUGAAUGCUUGAGGGGUUGGUGGAAUUCUUGGUGUAGGAGUGAAAUCCGUAGAUAUCAAGAGGAAUACCGGAGGCGAAGGCGGCCGACUGGCAAUGCAUUGACGCUGAGGAGCGAAAGCGUGGGGAGCAAACAGG